GCAAACUUGGUCAUUUAGAGGAAGUAAAAGUCGUAACAAGGUUUCCGUAGGUGAGUAGUUAAUCGUUCGUCUUUAGCCAGUAAAAAAUAGCGUGCUAACUUUUUUUAGGUGAACCUGCGGAAGGAUCAUUACAGAGUGUACCCCCCAUAAAAAGGGGGACCUCCCGUCCUUUGCUGGCCCCUAGAGGGCUUUUGAACUUCUGCUUCGGCGGGGUUACCCGCCGGAACACCCUCAAAACUCUGAGACAAACAGUUCUGUCCGAGAGCUUUUAAAUUAGCGAAAAACUUUCAACAACGGAUCUCUUGGUUCUGGCAUCGAUGAAGAACGCAGC
This 331-nucleotide unclassified non-coding RNA is filed under the name uncultured fungus. RNAcentral's name for it is "partial contains small subunit ribosomal RNA, internal transcribed spacer 1, and 5.8S ribosomal RNA". The stretch from base 1 to 131 matches the Rfam family "Eukaryotic small subunit ribosomal RNA", at positions 1759 to 1831 of the family's 1831-position model. The record is from RNAcentral. Lineage: Eukaryota; Fungi.